Molecule: transfer RNA, 84 nt
Filed under: Bacteroidota bacterium
Lineage: Bacteria; Pseudomonadati; Bacteroidota
Description: tRNA-Leu
Rfam family: tRNA
About the family: Transfer RNA (tRNA) molecules are approximately 80 nucleotides in length. Their secondary structure includes four short double-helical elements and three loops (D, anti-codon, and T loops). Further hydrogen bonds mediate the characteristic L-shaped molecular structure. tRNAs have two regions of fundamental functional importance: the anti-codon, which is responsible for specific mRNA codon recognition, and the 3' end, to which the tRNAs corresponding amino acid is attached (by aminoacyl-tRNA synthetases). tRNAs cope with the degeneracy of the genetic code in two manners: having more than one tRNA (with a specific anti-codon) for a particular amino acid; and 'wobble' base-pairing, i.e. permitting non-standard base-pairing at the 3rd anti-codon position.
Source: RNAcentral
GGCCAGGUGGUGAAAUUGGUAUACACGCUACUUUGAGGGGGUAGUGGGAGCAAUCCCGUGUGAGUUCGAGUCUCAUCCUGGUCA